RNAcentral lists this non-coding RNA (182 nucleotides) under Agathobacter rectalis. The record is from RNAcentral. Lineage: Bacteria; Bacillati; Bacillota; Clostridia; Lachnospirales; Lachnospiraceae.
UGAAUCUGAUUUAUGACAGGCGAUGUGAAGCUGGCUCCGGUGAAAAGGGAAACAGGUGCAAAUCCUGUACGAACUCGUCACCGUAAUUAGGGAGUGACGGCCGAUAGGUCACUGGGCAACCGGGAAGACGGCCGAAGCAAUGAUAUAUAAGCCGGGAGACCUGCCUUUGUGUUGUACGGAAA